Molecule: non-coding RNA, 53 nt
Organism: Ailuropoda melanoleuca (giant panda)
Lineage: Eukaryota; Metazoa; Chordata; Mammalia; Carnivora; Ursidae
Source: Rfam
UUUUUAGUUAUAAGUAUGUCCUAUGCCACAUUUGGGACAUACUUAUACUAAAA